This 66-nucleotide transfer RNA is filed under the name Scolytoplatypus skyliuae. RNAcentral describes it as "tRNA-Trp". The record is from RNAcentral. Lineage: Eukaryota; Metazoa; Arthropoda; Insecta; Coleoptera; Curculionidae.
AAGAAUUUAAGUUAUUUAAACUUUUAACCUUCAAAGUUAAAAAUAGAUAUUUAUUUCUAAUUCUUA